This is a non-coding RNA of Nothobranchius furzeri (turquoise killifish), 555 nucleotides long. NCBI's taxonomy places the organism in Eukaryota, Metazoa, Chordata, Actinopteri, Cyprinodontiformes, Nothobranchiidae. The record is from RefSeq and is a predicted model, not a curated record.
UCACAUUUUAGUCAAUUAACUCAAUCUGUUAUUUGUGGCUUUUUUCAUUCCAGACUGGACCCUUGGACUCCUUGAACCCUGGACACUUGGACACCUGGACCCUACGACACCUGGGACCUUGGACCCUCAGACGCCUGGCACACUGGACACCUGGGACCUGUCCUCUUAUUUUUUGCACCACAGACACGUCACUUUUUUUAUCUUUUCUUUUUCUGGAGGGUGGGGACAAUGACUGGACCCUUGGACACCUGGAAUCUCUGGACCCUCAGACACCUGGCACACUGGACACCUGGACCCUCAGACGCCUGGAACCCUGGACACUUGGACACCUGGGACCUUGGACCCUCAGACGCCUGGAACACUGGACACUUAUACACCUGUAACCCUGCACACUUGGACACCUGGACCCUCAGACGCCUGGAACACUGGACACUUAUACACCUGGAACCCUGGACACUGACACUUUGACACCUGAACCCUACGACACCUGGGUCCUUGGAUCAUCAGACACUGGACACAUGCACAAACACCUUUUAAUAAACCUUUUAAAUGUUU